UUUUGGACAAUGGGCGCAAGCCUGAUCCAGCAAUGCCGCGUGAGUGAAGAAGGCCUUCGGGUUGUAAAGCUCUUUUGUCAGGGAAGAAACGGUGAGCUCUAAUACAGUUUGCUAAUGACGGUACCUGAAGAAUAAGCACCGGCUAAUUACGUGCCAGCAGCCGCGGUAAUACGUAGGGUGCAAGCGUUAAUCGGAAUUACUGGGCGUAAAGCGUGCGCAGGCGGUUAUGUAAGUCAGAUGUGAAAUCCCCGGGCUCAACCUGGGAAUGGCAUUUGAGACUGCAUGGCUAGAGUGUGUCAGAGGGGGGUAGAAUUCCACGUGUAGCAGUGAAAUGCGUAGAGAUGUGGAGGAAUACCGAUGGCGAAGGCAGCCCCCUGGGAUAACACUACGCUCAUCACGAA
Molecule: ribosomal RNA, 401 nt
Filed under: uncultured bacterium
Lineage: Bacteria
Description: bacterial SSU rRNA
Rfam family: Bacterial small subunit ribosomal RNA
Source: RNAcentral